UACGGAGGAUCCGAGCGUUAUCCGGAUUUAUUGGGUUUAAAGGGUGCGUAGGCGGAAAUGUAAGUCAGUGGUGAAAUCCUGCAGCUUAACUGUAGAAUAGCCGUUGAAACUGUGUUUCUUGAGUACAUUUGAGGUAGGCGGAAUGUGCAGUGUAGCGGUGAAAUGCAUAGAUAUUGCACGGAACACCAAUUGCGAAGGCAGCUUACUGGGCCAUUACUGACGCUCAGGCACGAAAGCGUGGGGAGCAAACAGGAUUAGA
Molecule: ribosomal RNA, 259 nt
Filed under: uncultured prokaryote
Description: partial 16S ribosomal RNA
Rfam family: Bacterial small subunit ribosomal RNA
Source: RNAcentral